UACGGAGGAUGCGAGCGUUAUCCGGAUUUAUUGGGUUUAAAGGGAGCGUAGACGGCUUGGCAAGCCAGAUGUGAAAGGCUGGGGCUCAACCCCAGGACUGCAUUUGGAACUGUCAUGCUAGAGUGUCGGAGAGGCAGGCGGAAUUCCUAGUGUAGCGGUGAAAUGCGUAGAUAUUAGGAGGAACACCAGUGGCGAAGGCGGCCUGCUGGACGAUGACUGACGUUGAGGCUCGAAAGCGUGGGGAGCAAACAGG
Molecule: ribosomal RNA, 253 nt
Filed under: uncultured bacterium
Lineage: Bacteria
Description: partial 16S ribosomal RNA
Rfam family: Bacterial small subunit ribosomal RNA
Source: RNAcentral